GCUUGCUUUUCAAAACUUAGCGGCGGACGGGUGAGUAACACGUGGGCAACCUGCCCUUGAGACGGGGAUAACUCCGGGAAACCGGAGCUAAUACCGGAUAACACAUAUCUUCGCAUGAGGAUAUGUUAGAAGGUGGCUUUUAGCUACCACUCAAGGAUGGGCCCGCGGCGCAUUAGCUAGUUGGUGAGGUAACGGCUCACCAAGGCGACGAUGCGUAGCCGACCUGAGAGGGUGAUCGGCCACACUGGGACUGAGACACGGCCCAGACUCCUACGGGAGGCAGCAGUAGGGAAUCUUCCGCAAUGGACGAAAGUCUGACGGAGCAACGCCGCGUGAGUGAUGAAGGUUUUCGGAUCGUAAAGCUCUGUUGUUAGGGAAGAACAAGUACCUGUUAAAUAAGCAGGUACCUUGACGGUACCUAACCAGAAAGCCACGGCUAACUACGUGCCAGCAGCCGCGGUAAUACGUAGGUGGCAAGCGUUGUCCGGAAUUAUUGGGCGUAAAGCGCGCGCAGGCGGUUCCUUAAGUCUGAUGUGAAAGCCCACGGCUCAACCGUGGAGGGUCAUUGGAAACUGGGGAACUUGAGUGCAGAAGAGGAGAGCGGAAUUCCACGUGUAGCGGUGAAAUGCGUAGAGAUGUGGAGGAACACCAGUGGCGAAGGCGGCUCUCUGGUCUGUAACUGACGCUGAGGCGCG
Molecule: ribosomal RNA, 695 nt
Filed under: Bacillus sp. (in: firmicutes)
Lineage: Bacteria; Bacillati; Bacillota; Bacilli; Caryophanales; Bacillaceae
Description: bacterial SSU rRNA
Rfam family: Bacterial small subunit ribosomal RNA
Source: RNAcentral